RNAcentral lists this transfer-messenger RNA (401 nucleotides) under Candidatus Thermochlorobacter aerophilus. Its description in RNAcentral is "Thermochlorobacter aerophilum Standard tmRNA". It matches the Rfam family "transfer-messenger RNA". Rfam says of the family: Bacterial tmRNA, also known as 10Sa RNA or SsrA, is named for its dual tRNA and mRNA-like properties. The record is from RNAcentral. Lineage: Bacteria; Pseudomonadati; Chlorobiota; Chlorobiia; Chlorobiales; Candidatus Thermochlorobacteriaceae.
GGGGAUGACAGGUUUCGACAGGGCAGGCAGAGAAAUCGGUUGCACUCCGAGUUUCCGCACAGAUAGACUCGUUAAAGAAGUCUGUGCAAAAGUAAAUGCGGAAGAUUAUUCUUACGCAAUGGCUGCCUAAUUAACGCAAGGUUAAUUAGUCAUGCCACGUUUGCAAGCUGAAGCGCCUACACGGAGGCUUGCAAAUGUCAUAAAAUUUGCGCUUGAGCUCUGCUCGCGCGGUAGGCUUCACUUGCAUUGUUCUCAACGGUGCAAGUGAAUAUGCAGUUGAGAUAGCAACAUGAACUGUGUCAAUGCAGUCGCAUGUUGCGAACCUUAAACAUUGACGAUGAGUGUGGGAACCUAUUUCGAUGCUGCUCUGGACGCGGGUUCGAGUCCCGCCAUCUCCACCA